Molecule: long non-coding RNA, 898 nt
Filed under: Homo sapiens (human)
Lineage: Eukaryota; Metazoa; Chordata; Mammalia; Primates; Hominidae
Description: HSALNT0311053
Source: RNAcentral
GGGAGCUCCAGCGCAGGCGCACUGGAUGCGGGGUCCUUAAGCUGUCCGCGGUCACGUGAAGGUGUCGCGGCGGCUACGCCCACCUGGACCCAGUUUACCCUGUACUGUGCUGCAAAAUAUUACUUUCUCCCCAUCUGGAAUUCUUCCCUUCCUCCUUCCUGCCGCAGUGGUGUACUGAGCACUUUCACGUAAGAGUAUUCCUCCACUCGAACAACCCCCCGGAGAAGUACUGGUGUCACUGCCACCUGCGAGAGUUUGCGGCUACCUCCCCAAGAGGCAGUCCCAGGGUUAUUGUGACCUAUGAUGUUUAUUCAACUACUGUUGACGGGCUGCUGUGCACAGGGAACCUAGUAGGCAAGACCCCUGCCAUCGUGCAGCUUACUGUCAGGUUGACACAGACCUUAAGGCAGAAUGAAGGAACAAGACAGCAAAGAAUGUGACUGGCCCCAUGGAAAGGAAGUUGUAUCCUAUCCUGGGGACUCUGUCCAGAUGUUCCAGGUGGUGACAAACAGCAACAUAAUAUAGUGGUUUAUGCAGACUUCUUCACACAUGUGAGGAGCAAGCUUGGAAGUUCAAAGGGUUUGAUGCCCAUACAUUGUGAAAUAUCAGAACAUUAGAGACAAAGAGAUAAUGUUCUAAGUGUCUGGAGAGGGAGAAAAAACAGGCCAUGUACAAGGAAUGAUAAUAAAAAUGACUCUGGGCUUCUCAGCAACAUUUGAAGGAAGAAGACAAUGGAAGAGUGUCUUCAAUGUGAUGGAAAAUGCCUUCCAACCUAGAAAUCCUAUAACCAACCAAACUGGCAAUGUGAAGAUUGACUAUAGACACUUGUAACAUCUGAACAAAAUUAGGCCAGGCGUGGUGGCUCACACCUGUAAACCCAGCACUUUGGGAGGCCAAG